GAUGAACGCUGGCGGCGUGCCUAAUACAUGCGAGUCGAGCGAACGGACGAGAAGCUUGCUUCUCUGAUGUUAGCGGCGGACGGGUGAGUAACACGUGGAUAACCUACCUAUAAGACUGGGAUAACUUCGGGAAACCGGAGCUAAUACCGGAUAAUAUUUUGAACCGCAUGGUUCAAAAGUGAAAGACGGUCUUGCUGUCACUUAUAGAUGGAUCCGCGCUGCAUUAGCUAGUUGGUAAGGUAACGGCUUACCAAGGCAACGAUGCAUAGCCGACCUGAGAGGGUGAUCGGCCACACUGGAACUGAGACACGGUCCAGACUCCUACGGGAGGCAGCAGUAGGGAAUCUUCCGCAAUGGGCGAAAGCCUGACGGAGCAACGCCGCGUGAGUGAUGAAGGUCUUCGGAUCGUAAAACUCUGUUAUUAGGGAAGAACAUAUGUGUAAGUAACUGUGCACAUAUUGACGGUACCUAAUCAGAAAGCCACGGCUAACUACGUG
Molecule: ribosomal RNA, 497 nt
Filed under: uncultured bacterium
Lineage: Bacteria
Description: partial 16S ribosomal RNA
Rfam family: Bacterial small subunit ribosomal RNA
Source: RNAcentral